Molecule: ribosomal RNA, 244 nt
Filed under: uncultured bacterium
Lineage: Bacteria
Description: partial 16S ribosomal RNA
Rfam family: Bacterial small subunit ribosomal RNA
Source: RNAcentral
UAGUCCACGCCGUAAACGUUGGGCGCUAGGUGUGGGGGCCAUUCCACGGUCUCCGUGCCGCAGCUAACGCAUUAAGCGCCCCGCCUGGGGAGUACGGCCGCAAGGCUAAAACUCAAAGGAAUUGACGGGGGCCCGCACAAGCGGCGGAGCAUGUUGCUUAAUUCGAUGCAACGCGAAGAACCUUACCUAGGCUUGACAUGUGCGGAAAUCCUCCAGAGAUGGUGGGUCCGUAAGGGUCGCACAC